This 400-nucleotide ribosomal RNA is filed under the name uncultured bacterium. Its description in RNAcentral is "bacterial SSU rRNA". It matches the Rfam family "Bacterial small subunit ribosomal RNA", at positions 356 to 773 of the family's 1533-position model. The record is from RNAcentral.
GGGGGAUAUUGCACAAUGGAGGAAACUCUGAUGCAGCAACGCCGCGUGAGGGAAGACGGUUUUCGGAUUGUAAACCUCUGUCCUCGGUGACGAUAAUGACGGUAGCCGAGGAGGAAGCUCCGGCUAACUACGUGCCAGCAGCCGCGGUAAUACGUAGGGAGCAAGCGUUGUCCGGAUUUACUGGGUGUAAAGGGUGCGUAGGCGGCUCAGCAAGUCAGGUGUGAAAACUAUGGGCUUAACUCAUAGAUUGCACUUGAAACUGUGGAGCUUGAGUGAAGUAGAGGCAGGCGGAAUUCCCGGUGUAGCGGUGAAAUGCGUAGAGAUCGGGAGGAACACCAGUGGCGAAGGCGGCCUGCUGGGCUUUAACUGACGCUGAGGCACGAAAGCAUGGGUAGCAAAC